GAGUUUGAUCUUGGCUCAGAUUGAACGCUGGCGGCAUGCCUUACACAUGCAAGUCGAACGGCAGCACGGGAGCCUUGCUCCUGGUGGCGAGUGGCGAACGGGUGAGUAAUGCAUCGGAACGUAUCCUGGAGUGGGGGAUAACGUAGCGAAAGUUACGCUAAUACCGCAUAUUCUGUGAGCAGGAAAGCGGGGGACCUUCGGGGCCUCGCGCUCUUGGAGCGGCCGAUGUCGGAUUAGCUAGUUGGUGAGGUAAAGGCUCACCAAGGCGACGAUCCGUAGCAGGUCUGAGAGGAUGAUCUGCCACACUGGAACUGAGACACGGUCCAGACUCCUACGGGAGGCAGCAGUGGGAAUUUUGGACAAUGGGGGCAACCCUGAUCCAGCCAUGCCGCGUGAGUGAAG
Molecule: ribosomal RNA, 402 nt
Filed under: bacterium enrichment culture clone ALO1_GLFRUDD03HE6IH
Lineage: Bacteria
Description: bacterial SSU rRNA
Rfam family: Bacterial small subunit ribosomal RNA
Source: RNAcentral